GACAGACCUUACAACCUGCAGCAGCAGUUGCUUUCCCAGAGGACCAAAUUCCUGGUCCCCACUGUUUGUUCAGACUUAGCUUCCUGCCAGGGGUCAUUUCUCUGGUUCCUUUCACCAACAUGCACAAGUGAUUAUGCUCUGUAAGAGCAGUUUUCAGGCCAUAGUGCUGACGGAACAAGAGCUAUGUGUGUUCCCUCCCCACGAACUGAUGCUUUUGCUGCCUGCAGUGCUCCCAGAAGUGAAGGCGAGGCUUGUAGGAAGCAAUCUCUCUUGUUAGAUUAGCCUGUAGAUUUCAGACAAAACAGACAAGUCAUUCUUCAGGCUAAAAGCCUAUCUAUUUUUUUUUUCCCAUUUGUAUCAGCGCUGUUUUUCCCAUCUUUAUCUGUGCAUUGCAUACAACCAGCUGAUAAAAGACAUGCACCGUGCUGUCCAACACUGAGGUGCUGCCUGGGCUUGGCAGCAACCUGUGAUCUGGUUGAGCUCAGUUGUAACCUGCCUCUCUCUGCAAGCCCCUUAAUAUCCCUGGAGGUGCCUUUCCCAGGCAGCUCAUGGGAACUGGGGUCAGAUACAGCCCUCUUCCUAUCCCCGUCCCUGGCUGCAACAGCUGGGAUUGUUUCUCUGCAAGUCUAAUAUGGUACGUGUGGUCCCCCUCCUGGAGCACUGCUGGGUGUAAGCUGAGCCCCAGAGCUGUCUGUAGGAAGCUGUGGUGGAGAGCAGUGCAAGGAUCCCACGGGCAUCUACUUUCCUGCUGCACCUUCUGCUCACACCCCCAAGAACUUCUGCCUUUCAGACCCCGCAGGAACCACAUUUAG
This 812-nucleotide long non-coding RNA is filed under the name Numida meleagris (helmeted guineafowl). RNAcentral's name for it is "lncRNA (ENSNMEG00000018231.1)". The record is from RNAcentral. Lineage: Eukaryota; Metazoa; Chordata; Aves; Galliformes; Numididae.